CAGAACGAACGCUGGCGGCGCGCUUAAGCAUGCAAGGUCGAACGGCAAGAGGUAGCAAUACCUCCUAGAGUGGCGGACUGGUGAGUAACACGUGGGUGACAUACCCUUCAGAUGGGGAUAGCUAUUAGAAAUAGUAGAUAAUACCGAAUACGAGCACAGGGGUUAGAGAUCUGUGAGGAAAGGAGCUAAGGCUCCGCUGAAGGAAUGGCCUGCGGCCCAUUAGCUAGUUGGUGAGGUAAGAGCCCACCAAGGCGAUGAUGGGUAUCCGGCCUUAGAGGGUGAACGGACACAUUGGGACUGAGAUACGGCCCAGACUCCUACGGGAGGCAGCAGCUAAGAAUAUUCCGCAAUGGACGAAAGUCUGACGGAGCGACGCCGCGUGGAUGAAGAAGGCCGGAAGGUUGUAAAAUCCUUUUGAAACUGAAGAAUAAGCGUUGUAGGGAAUGACAGCGUGGUGACAGUAGGUUUUGAAUAAGCAACGGCUAAUUACGUGCCAGCAGCCGC
Molecule: ribosomal RNA, 504 nt
Filed under: uncultured bacterium
Lineage: Bacteria
Description: bacterial SSU rRNA
Rfam family: Bacterial small subunit ribosomal RNA
Source: RNAcentral